UUUGCCUGCAGUCAACUGGAGCCAGAACUUCUCAGAGGGAGAUGGGGAGUCCUGGUGGAUGUGUGCCUAUGGCCACCCUCUGCCAGAGCUGCUCCGUGCUUAAAAGCCCCUGGGCUCCAAGUGGGCUGAAGCCCUACCUCUACCUACUCUCCAGGCACAUCCUCCUGCCAGCUCAAACACCCAUGGAAGAAGUGGGGGCUCUGUAGCUAGGAUCCCAGAGGUCUGUAGUGAGAGUGAGCUGUAUAUCAGUCCCUUCAUUCACUCCUUGCCUGGGAGCUGUUGAAGGCCAGGAACUAGCCCUAGCAUUCAGGUACCCCAAUGUUCCCAGCUUCCUCCCUCUUCAGCCUCUGAGUCUGCAUUGCUUCUCCAUCCGCUCCAGAACCUGAUUUAAAUGGAGGCUGUACUUCUUGGCUGUCUUUGUAUGGGAGAUCAUGUUACACAAGGCUGCCCAAUAGAAUACAAAUAUGGUGACCAUGAGAGUGAAAGCCACACCCUGAGGCUGAAGGUGAAGAAAAUGCAAGGAGACUGGAGUAUUGAAGGCAUUGUGGAGUGGCUGCACUGGUCCUGAGGUGUCAACCUCAAAAUCUUUACUCAGAAGUUCAAUAGGUCCAUGAAGAGAUUACUGAGUCUGCUAGGUCCUGCUGGUGCAUACCUGCUGAGACAGGGUAGAAGGUCACACAGUUAUCCUCACCAUGCUCCAAGGAGGAAGCCUGCUGUGGCUAAACAACCUUAUGUCAGAAAAUGAUGCAUAUUACUGUAGAAAUCAUAUAUGCAAGUCCAAAGGGAGAUGAUGAAAAAGAAAACAAGCUUUAAAGUCUACACAUUCCUAACACCGCAUUAGGAACUCAGCACUCAUAGUGAAAUCAAAGAAUGAUCACACUCAACUCCAUCUCAGACCUAGACUGAAAUAUCAAACUUCAAAAAGAAAAGAAAGUUAAGAACUUUAGGCUAAUCAAAAUUUUCCAACAUAGUUAACAUUAUUGCUGCCUUCAUCGCACUAGAAAACAUAAACAAGAAUCCAAGUUUUGUAUAUGCUUAAAUAAAAAUAUUUUUAUUUCUAUCCAUUAUGACAUAUAAGCAAGUAGUAAAAUAAAAGCACAAUAAAAUGAUGUAUAGAAUUGUCUCAGUCUAAAAAAAUUCAAUUGAGACUAUUAAUUUUAUGAAAACUAUAAAGAAUUCUUCAUGAAAUUAUAUUAUACACUAAUUUUUAGCAUUCUACUUACAUUUUACAUCAUCAACAAAUUAAAGGAAACAUUUAAACGUUAUUUUUUCAAUUUUAUUAUUCUAUUACAAUAAUCUUUUUGACAUAAGUAUUUCAAAUAAAACAUUCAAAAUAAAUUCUAGGUGCUGAUUUGAGCUUUUGAUGUAAUCAUACUUCUGUACCCAUAGUAAUGUGAAGUUAAACUUUCUCCUCACAAUGUAGAUCUUUUAUAACAACAGUGUUAUUCUUUUCUCUGACACAAACCCUGUGAUAUCACACAGUAUCCAUAUACUGUAUCGAUACAUUACAUGGCUCCAAACAGUAGGCUUCAAAUAAAUGAAAAAAUUAUAUUUGUGACAAAAUUCUAGAAAAGGGAAUGGUAAAGUGGGAGAAUAAUUUCUAACUUUUUAACUCUGGGUCAGUGGAUUUGGGUACAUUUAGAUGGACACACAUAUUUGCACACUGCAAGUGUGCACAUGUGUAUAUAUAUUUAUAUGUGUUACCCAAAAUAUAUGGAUUGUGUAAUCAUUUAAUCUACGCUUUUACAUUUAUGAAAUUUGAUAAGGGAUUAUCUUACCUAUAUUCAAUUUGAUGUAAAGCCAAUAAAAUCUCUGUCAACAUUCAUUUUAAUUAAUCCAAUAAUGUUAAUUGCUGAUAGCUUCAUUCUCCUUGUUCCCUGUUGGCAACCAGAAAGGUAAUUCUCCCUCUAACUUAGCUGUCAGGAUGCCAUCCAGGAGAGAUUGUCGUCUUGCUUUUCACUGUGACCUCUGACCCCACCACUGUCUUCCUGUAACAGUCCUAUCUUCGGGUAUUUAAUGAACUUUAUACAUGGCUAAAAGGUUAAAAGUGCAGUGAAAUGUUAGGCCCUGCUGCGAAAUGUUCCAUUGUUUCUAUAUGUCUAAUUGACCUUUCAUGUUAUGCAAGACAAGAAAAGCAAACCAAUAGGUUUCUUAGUAUCCAGUCCAACACAGUCUUUAUUAUUAAUAUGCUAAACAUGUUUCUUUCAAGGCAUUGACACCUAAACACUGCUAGAAGUAUCAAAAUGACUUCUCAUUAAUAACCAUUAUAUUAAUCACUGUUGCCCAGAACUAGAAUCUAACUGCGAAAUCCCCUGGUGGAAAUUGCUAUAAUCGUUCAAACUACAGGAAUGAAUAUUUUUCAGCAUAAUUACUGCUGUCGUCUUACUGAAAAAUAUCCCAUUAGAUGGCAGCUUUUAGUUACAUAAAUUGUGUUGAUUAAUUUUUAAUUUCCAGCAUUUAUAUGACAUUGCACAAGUAAAGAUCUUUGAUAAUUUAAAUGGUUAGCUGAGCAAUUAUUAAAAUAACUCACAGCAAUUGAAACAUUCAUUUACUUACUAGAAGUGCCGUACGUCAUUAACUCCUGAUUAAAACAAAGUUGGCAAAUUGCAAGUGCUGAAUUGAUCACUAAGAUAUUUAUCUCAUGGUGUUUAAUAAAACUAUUUGUGCCAUGUAUGAUGCCUCAGCUGCAAGGAUGAAACUUUAGUAUAAAUGUGUCAAAGCGAAGGAAUCUAAACAAUACUGGCAACAUGGCAUCUCAACUGUGUGCUCAAGCGCACAUCUGUGGCUCUAGGCAGGCAACUUAAAUGCUCUAUAACAUUACCAUUUGUAUCUAACCCAGUAACUCUUUCAUUUAAAACAAACAAAAGUUUCCAUACUUACAAGAAAACAAUGAGUUCUUAGUCUUACUUGUGUAAUUUAUGUUUUUAUCGACUUGUUUGAAUCUUCAUCUUAACUGUGAAUUCUCAGAUAACUUUCAGUUUCUUUAUCAGUAAAUUGAGAAGGUAACUGUGCUUAUUUCAUAACGCUGUACUAUGGGAUAAUAUAACUCAAGAAAUGUAAAUUUGCCUAGAUAACAUAUGGGAUGUACUGAGCAAUAAAUCAUCCUUCUCAUUAUAAUGUCUAUCACAAUUUUUUCAAAUGUAAGGCAAUAAUGAAAAGAUAAAUGUUUUAUACCUGAAAAUAAAUGUCUUUUGGUUCUUAAUGUCUCUCUGCAUUAGUCUUCAUAAGCUAAACACAAAAACACCCAUGUAUUUGGUUUUCAGCUGAGUUGACUAUCAAUUUUUAGGGUUUAAUUAAACAGAAUAAAAAUUUCAAAAAUAGAUGACUAGAUAAGAGAAACCACACUUUUAUCAUAAAUAAUAAUUAUUCCCAAGUCCCACU
RNAcentral lists this long non-coding RNA (3381 nucleotides) under Homo sapiens (human). Its description in RNAcentral is "HSALNT0061798". The record is from RNAcentral. Lineage: Eukaryota; Metazoa; Chordata; Mammalia; Primates; Hominidae.